This 64-nucleotide transfer RNA is filed under the name Ignelater luminosus. Its description in RNAcentral is "tRNA-Asp". The record is from RNAcentral. Lineage: Eukaryota; Metazoa; Arthropoda; Insecta; Coleoptera; Elateridae.
AAAAAUUUAGUUAAUUUAUAACGUUAGCUUGUCAAGCUAGAAUCAUUACUCGUAAUAAUUUUUA